RNAcentral lists this long non-coding RNA (899 nucleotides) under Homo sapiens (human). RNAcentral's name for it is "PREDICTED lncRNA (TCONS_00109451)". Lineage: Eukaryota; Metazoa; Chordata; Mammalia; Primates; Hominidae. The record is from RNAcentral.
AGUUAGCAUUAGUGUUUGUAGCGCCACUUUACUGCCAAUAGCUGACAUUGCCCUGGGUUAGGGGAGAAUAAAUAAAAUCUGUGGCAUCAGACAGGUAUUACCGAGGCGAAGAGUGGACUGGGCUUUCGUGGGCACUUACCCUGGGAAGGGGGUAUGAGGUGGCUGGAGAAGUGUUCAUGGAGAGUGUCUCUCUCCUGCCCCCAAGGCCACGGAAUCUUCUAUUCCUUCUUUGUACCCAAAGGGCAAAGUGGAGGCCAGGGUCUCUUUGCUAAGGAGCUAAGUAGGGGAAAGAGGCAGGGGGAGCUCCCAGCAGGACCAAAGGGAGACCAAGGUUUGGACCCCAGAACAGAGCAGGAACCCAGAGUCCUGUGCAGUCACAGGAUGACGCAGGGAGGACGGCUGUUGGUGAUCUUUUCUAGGGUUUCUCCAUUACUGGCUCUUCGGAUGGCCUCAAUGAGCUAGAGGAGUGGAAUGACAGGAUGAUGCACUGUUGGGGCCUCUGUGACACCCCCUGACCUAUGGAAGGGAACUCAUGUUGGCCGGACAUUUUACCAUGUGCCAGGCACUGCGGGCACUUUACAUAAAGCAGCCAAUGUCAGAACUAGAAAGCGGGAGAGCUGGGAUUCAGAGCACAGACUGACCCAGCAGGUGUUCUGCGAGCCUCACCUGUGCCCCCGAGGCGCGACUCGAUCUCGAUGCCCGGAUACUGCUCCUUCACAGCACUGGCCAGCUCCAGGUAGGUCGCCUCGAAGCCGCAGGGUUCACUGGGGAGUCAAGAGAUGGGGCUGGGCUGGGGAUUCGGGGGUGGGGCCUCCCGUGGACCCACCUCCGUCCGGCCCGCGGGACCAGGGUGCGGGUCCUCCAGCCGGGGCCGCUCACCAGUACUCCACCACGAUGCG